AGCCGAUGUGUGGAUCAACGCCGC
RNAcentral lists this non-coding RNA (24 nucleotides) under Arabidopsis thaliana (thale cress). Lineage: Eukaryota; Viridiplantae; Streptophyta; Magnoliopsida; Brassicales; Brassicaceae. The record is from RNAcentral.